GGGCCCAUAGUUUUAACUGGUAAAACAGCGGUCUCCAAAACCGUAGUUCUCCGUUCGAACCGGAGUGGGCCUGCCA
This 76-nucleotide transfer RNA is filed under the name Candidatus Dojkabacteria bacterium. RNAcentral describes it as "tRNA-Trp". It matches the Rfam family "tRNA". Rfam says of the family: Transfer RNA (tRNA) molecules are approximately 80 nucleotides in length. Their secondary structure includes four short double-helical elements and three loops (D, anti-codon, and T loops). The record is from RNAcentral.